Molecule: ribosomal RNA, 418 nt
Filed under: uncultured bacterium
Lineage: Bacteria
Description: bacterial SSU rRNA
Rfam family: Bacterial small subunit ribosomal RNA
Source: RNAcentral
GAUAAACGCUGGCGGCGUGCUUAACACAUGCAAGUCGAACGGAGCUUUUCCUUCGGGGAAAGCUUAGUGGCGGACGGGUGAGUAACGCGUGGGUAACCUGCCCUGUACAGGGGGACAACAGCUGGAAACGGCUGCUAAUACCGCAUAAGCCCUUAACACCGCAUGGUGUAUAGGGAAAAGGAGCAAUCCGGUACAGGAUGGACCCGCGUCUGAUUAGCCAGUUGGCAGGGUAACGGCCUACCAAAGCGACGAUCAGUAGCCGAUCUGAGAGGAUGUACGGCCACAUUGGGACUGAGACACGGCCCAGACUCCUACGGGAGGCAGCAGUGGGGAAUAUUGCACAAUGGGGGAAACCCUGAUGCAGCGACGCCGCGUGAGUGAAGAAGUAUUUCGGGUAUGUAAAGCUCUAUCAGCAGGG